Symsagittifera roscoffensis is the source of this 114-nucleotide small nuclear RNA. RefSeq annotates it as U5 spliceosomal RNA. The transcript has a single exon. The record is from RefSeq and is a predicted model, not a curated record. Lineage: Eukaryota; Metazoa; Xenacoelomorpha; Acoela; Convolutidae.
AUCUCUGGUCUCUUCGCAAAUCGAGAAAAACUUUCGCCUUUUACUAAAGUUUUCCGUGCGGAGGGACAAAUUGAGAAUUUUAUCUUUUUCCAAACCUGCUCUUCGGGGCAGGAU